UACGUAGGUGGCAAGCGUUGUCCGGAUUUACUGGGCGUAAAGAGCGCGCAGGCGGUUAGUUAAGUCGGAUGUGAAAGCCCCCGGCUUAACUGGGGAGGGUCAUUCGAUACUGUUUAACUUGAAGGCAGGAGAGGGUAGUGGAAUUCCCGGUGUAGUGGUGAAAUGCGUAGAUAUCGGGAGGAACACCAGUGGCGAAGGCGACUACCUGGCCUGUUCUUGACGCUGAGGCGCGAAAGCUGGGGGAGCAAACAGG
RNAcentral lists this ribosomal RNA (253 nucleotides) under uncultured bacterium. RNAcentral's name for it is "partial 16S ribosomal RNA". It matches the Rfam family "Bacterial small subunit ribosomal RNA", at positions 524 to 776 of the family's 1533-position model. The record is from RNAcentral.